This 461-nucleotide ribosomal RNA is filed under the name uncultured bacterium. Its description in RNAcentral is "bacterial SSU rRNA". It matches the Rfam family "Bacterial small subunit ribosomal RNA", at positions 29 to 476 of the family's 1533-position model. The record is from RNAcentral.
AUUGAACGCUGGCGGCAUGCCUUACACAUGCAAGUCGAACGGCAGCGCGGGAGCAAUCCUGGCGGCGAGUGGCGAACGGGUGAGUAAUAUAUCGGAACGUGCCCAGUAGUGGGGGAUAGCCCGGCGAAAGCCGGAUUAAUACCGCAUACGACCUGAGGGUGAAAGCGGGGGAUCGCAAGACCUCGCGCUAUUGGAGCGGCCGAUAUCAGAUUAGCUAGUUGGUGGGGUAAAGGCCUACCAAGGCAACGAUCUGUAGUUGGUCUGAGAGGACGACCAGCCACACUGGGACUGAGACACGGCCCAGACUCCUACGGGAGGCAGCAGUGGGGAAUUUUGGACAAUGGGCGCAAGCCUGAUCCAGCAAUGCCGCGUGCAGGAAGAAGGCCUCGGUUGUAAGACGUCUUUGUUCUAGGGAAGAAAAGGACGUAGUGGCGUAAGUAUACCACAACGCUGCUGACGGU